GAUGAACGCUGGCGGCGUGCUUAACACAUGCAAGUCGAACGGAAAGGCCCAAGCUUGCUUGGGUACUCGAGUGGCGAACGGGUGAGUAACACGUGGGUGAUCUGCCCUGCACUUCGGGAUAAGCCUGGGAAACUGGGUCUAAUACCGGCUAGGACCACUUCUUGGCUGUUGUGGUGGACAGUUUUUUCGGUGUGGGAUGGGCUCGCGGCCUAUCAGCUUGUUGGUGGGGUAAUGGCCUACCAAGGCGUCGACGGGUAGCCGGCCUGAGAGGGUGUACGGCCACAUUGGGACUGAGAGACGGCCCAGGCGCCGACGGGAGGCAGCAGGGGGGAAGAUUGCACAAUGGGCGCAAGCCUGAUGCAGCGACGCCGCGUGGGGGAUGACGGCCUUCGGGUUGUAAACGCCGUUCGCUAGGGACGAAGCGUUUUGUGACGGUACCUGGAGAAGAAGCACCGGCUAACUACGUG
This 467-nucleotide ribosomal RNA is filed under the name uncultured bacterium. RNAcentral's name for it is "partial 16S ribosomal RNA". It matches the Rfam family "Bacterial small subunit ribosomal RNA", at positions 28 to 507 of the family's 1533-position model. The record is from RNAcentral.